CGCUGGCGGCAGGCUUAACACAUGCAAGUCGAACGGGCACUUCGGUGCUAGUGGCAGACGGGUGAGUAACACGUGGGAACGUACCUUUCGGUUCGGAAUAAUUCAGGGAAACUUGGACUAAUACCGGAUACGCCCUUCGGGGGAAAGAUUUAUCGCCGAAAGAUCGGCCCGCGUCUGAUUAGCUAGUUGGUGAGGUAAUGGCUCACCAAGGCGACGAUCAGUAGCUGGUCUGAGAGGAUGAUCAGCCACAUUGGGACUGAGACACGGCCCAAACUCCUACGGGAGGCAGCAGUGGGGAAUAUUGGACAAUGGGCGCAAGCCUGAUCCAGCCAUGCCGCGUGUGUGAUGAAGGCCUUAGGGUUGUAAAGCACUUUUGUCCGGGAAGAUAAUGACUGUACCGGAAGAAUAAGCCCCGGCUAACUUCGUGCC
RNAcentral lists this ribosomal RNA (429 nucleotides) under bacterium NitrC2. Its description in RNAcentral is "bacterial SSU rRNA". It matches the Rfam family "Bacterial small subunit ribosomal RNA", at positions 34 to 509 of the family's 1533-position model. The record is from RNAcentral.